RNAcentral lists this long non-coding RNA (211 nucleotides) under Gossypium raimondii (Peruvian cotton). RNAcentral describes it as "long non-coding RNA (GRAI_LNC007441)". The record is from RNAcentral. Lineage: Eukaryota; Viridiplantae; Streptophyta; Magnoliopsida; Malvales; Malvaceae.
AAUGUAGUAAGUUUUAUUGACAUGGAUGAUAACUAUGAUGAAUAUUAUGAUGAUAGUUAUAAUUAUUCUAAUCAAAAUACCUUAGAGCAAAAAAAUAGAAAAGUUAGAGAAACAUAUACAAUAUUUUAAAAAAAAUUGAAACAUCGAGGUUAGUGAAAAAAUAUAAAAAUGAACCCUUACCUGAGAAAAUCUUAUGAUUCCACAUUCCCCC